RNAcentral lists this ribosomal RNA (433 nucleotides) under uncultured bacterium. Its description in RNAcentral is "partial 16S ribosomal RNA". It matches the Rfam family "Bacterial small subunit ribosomal RNA", at positions 29 to 507 of the family's 1533-position model. The record is from RNAcentral.
AACGAACGCUGGCGGCAUGCCUAACACAUGCAAGUCGAACGAGACCUUCGGGUCUAGUGGCGCACGGGUGCGUAACGCGUGGGAACCUGCCCUUAGGUUUGGAAUAACUCCCCGAAAGGGGUCCUAAUACCGGAUAAUGUCUUCGGACCAAAGAUUUAUCGCCUUUGGAUGGGCCCGCGUUGGAUAAGCUUGUUGGUAGGGUAAAAGCCUACCAAGGCAAGGAUCCAUAGAUGGUCGAGGAGGAUGAUCAGCCACACUGGGACUGAGACACGGCCCAGAGUCCUAGGGGGGGAGGAGGGGGGGAAUAUUGGAAAAGGGGCGAAAGCCUGAUCCAGCAAGGCCGCGUGAGUGAUGAAGGCCUUAGGGUUGUAAAGCUCUUUUACCCGGGAUGAUAAUGACGGUACCGGGAGAAUAAGCUCCGGCUAACUACGUG